RNAcentral lists this ribosomal RNA (497 nucleotides) under uncultured bacterium. RNAcentral's name for it is "partial 16S ribosomal RNA". It matches the Rfam family "Bacterial small subunit ribosomal RNA", at positions 28 to 507 of the family's 1533-position model. The record is from RNAcentral.
GAUGAACGCUGGCGGCGUGCCUAAUACAUGCAAGUCGAGCGAUCAGACCUGUUCCUUGCUCCUCUGACGUUAGCGGCGGUCGUGUGAGUUACAUGUGGUUCCCCUACCUCUAAGACUUGCCUAACUUCGUGAAUCCUGUGCUACUACCGGCUUAUCUUUUCAUCCGCUUUGUUCAAUAGUUUUUUCCGUUUUUGCUGUCCCUUCUACCUGUAUCCUGGGCGCAUUAGUUAGUUGGUAAGGUAACGGCUUACCAAGGCAACGAUGCGUAGCCGACCUGAGAGGGUGAUCGGCCACACUGGAAGUGAGACACGGUACAGACUAGUACGGGAGGCAGCAGAAGGGAAUCUUCGGCAAGGGGCGAAAGCAGAAAGGAGCAAAGCCGCGGGAGUGAGGAAGGGCGACGGAUCGUAAAACACUGUUAUUAGGGAAGAAAAAAAGUGUAAGGAACUAGGCAAGUAUUGACGGUAGGGAAAGAGAAAGCAACGGCUAACUACGUG